GACGAACGCUGGCGGCGUGCUUAACACAUGCAAGUCGAACGGAAAGGCCCUGCUUUUGUGGGGUGCUCGAUUGGCGAACGGGUGAGAAACACGUGUGUAUCCCGCCCUUGACUUUGGGAUAACUCCAGGAAACUGGGGCUAAUAUCGCAUAUGAGCUCCUGCUCCAUGGUGGGCGUUGGAAAGUUUCGGCCGUUGGGGCUGGACUCGCUGCUUAUCAGCUUGUUGGUGGAGUAGUUGCUUACCAAGGCUUUGACGGGUAGCCGGCCUGGGAGGGUGACCGGCGACAUUGGGACUGAGAUACGGCCCAGACUCCUACGGGAGGCAGCAGUGGAGAGUAUUGCACAAUGGGCGGAAGCGUGAUGCGGCGACGCCGCGUGCGGAAUGACCGCCUUCGGGUUAUAAACCGCUUUCGCCUGAGACGAAGCGUGAGUGACGGUACUGGGUAAAGAAGCACCGGCUAACUACGUG
Molecule: ribosomal RNA, 468 nt
Filed under: uncultured bacterium
Lineage: Bacteria
Description: partial 16S ribosomal RNA
Rfam family: Bacterial small subunit ribosomal RNA
Source: RNAcentral